Molecule: ribosomal RNA, 251 nt
Filed under: uncultured prokaryote
Description: partial 16S rRNA
Rfam family: Bacterial small subunit ribosomal RNA
Source: RNAcentral
ACGUAGGGUCCAAGCGUUAAUCGGAAUUACUGGGCGUAAAGCGUGCGCAGGCGGUUGUGCAAGACCGAUGUGAAAUCCCCCGGCUUAACCUGGGAACUGCCAUGGAGACUGCAAGGCUAGAGUGUGGCAGAGGGAGGUAGAAUUUCACGUGUAGCGGUGAAAUGCGUAGAUAUGUGGAAGAAUACCGAUGGCGAAGGCAGCCCACUGGGAUAACACUGACGCUCAUGCACGAAAGCGUGGGGAGCAAACAG